Molecule: ribosomal RNA, 468 nt
Filed under: uncultured bacterium
Lineage: Bacteria
Description: partial 16S ribosomal RNA
Rfam family: Bacterial small subunit ribosomal RNA
Source: RNAcentral
GACGAACGCUGGCGGCGUGCUUAACACAUGCAAGUCGAACGGAAAGGCCCUGCCUUUGUGGGGUGCUCGAGUGGCGAACGGGUGAGUAACACGUGAGUAACCUGCCCUGGACUUUGGGAUAACUUCAGGAAACUGGGGCUAAUACCGGAUAGGAGCUCCUGCUGCAUGGUGGGGGUUGGAAAGUUUCGGCGGUGGGGGAUGGGCUCGCGGCUUAUCAGCUUGUUGGUGGGGUAGUGGCUUACCAAGGCGUUGACGGGUAGCCGGCCUGAGAGGGUGUACGGCCACAUUGGGACUGAGAUACGGCCCAGACUCCUACGGGAGGCAGCAGUGGGGAAUAUUGCACAAUGGGCGGAAGCCUGAUGCAGCGACGCCGCGUGCGGGAUGACGGCCUUCGGGUUGUAAACCGCUUUCGCCUGUGACGAAGCGUGAGUGACGGUAAUGGGUAAAGAAGCACCGGCUAACUACGUG